GUUGUCGUGGCCGAGUGGUUAAGGCGAUGGACUAGCAAUCCAUUGGGGUUUCCCUGCGCAGGUUUAGAAUCCUGCCGACAACG
Cottoperca gobio is the source of this 83-nucleotide non-coding RNA. The record is from the annotation of a RefSeq genome assembly. NCBI's taxonomy places the organism in Eukaryota, Metazoa, Chordata, Actinopteri, Perciformes, Bovichtidae.